RNAcentral lists this ribosomal RNA (305 nucleotides) under uncultured bacterium. RNAcentral describes it as "bacterial SSU rRNA". It matches the Rfam family "Bacterial small subunit ribosomal RNA", at positions 335 to 658 of the family's 1533-position model. The record is from RNAcentral.
UGCCUACGGGAGGCAGCAGUGAGGGAUAUUGGUCAAUGGGGGAAACCCUGAACCAGCAACGCCGCGUGAGGGAAGACGGUUUUCGGAUUGUAAACCUCUGUCCUCUGUGAAGAUGAUGACGGUACCUGACCAAGAAGCCCCGGCUAACUACGUGCCAGCAGCCGCGGUAAUACGUAGGGGGCAAGCGUUAUCCGGAUUUACUGGGUGUAAAGGGAGCGCAGACGGCAGUGCAAGUCUGGAGUGAAAGCCCGGGGCCCAACCCCGGAACUGCUCUGGAAACUGUGCGGCUAGAGUACUGGAGGGGG